CCCUAGCCCUGAUGGUAGCAGCAUCCUUUCCUGCCGGUGUUCGGCAUGAAAGAUAUAGCGUACAGCAGGAAAUAGC
Molecule: small RNA, 76 nt
Filed under: Flavobacterium sinopsychrotolerans
Lineage: Bacteria; Pseudomonadati; Bacteroidota; Flavobacteriia; Flavobacteriales; Flavobacteriaceae
Description: Flavo-1 RNA
Rfam family: Flavo-1 RNA
Source: RNAcentral